Molecule: long non-coding RNA, 6656 nt
Filed under: Piliocolobus tephrosceles (Ugandan red Colobus)
Lineage: Eukaryota; Metazoa; Chordata; Mammalia; Primates; Cercopithecidae
Description: lncRNA (ENSPTEG00000012349.1)
Source: RNAcentral
UUUACAAUUUUUUUUUUUUUUUGCCUCCUUAAGUUUAUGCAAUACGCACAUAUAUAUAUACAUGCUAGAACUCUCCCAAACGUUAUGUGCCGUAGCACUCGCAACGUUUGAUAUGACAAAAUUCCAUAAGAUAUAGUAUAACUUGAACACACUAAGAUAUAUAUAUAUAUAUAUAUAUAUAUACAUUUGCAUACACAUACACAUACACAUACACAUACACAUACGCGAAUUUGAGGACCUACAAACAACAAAAUGGACCUAGCGAAAUUGCAAAAACGAGUGGAAAAAGAAAAUAACAACCGAAUAAACAUAACUAAAAUAAAAUUCCAAAAAUGCUUAUGCCUUUUUAACAACUAUUCUAAAUGCUAUGUUAACAUUAAGCAAAGGUCUAUCAUAGACAUCGCAAGACAUGAUAAGAUAUAUGGUAAUGAUAACAUUAAUUUGAAUAAAGAAAAAAGGCGUGACAAGAAUAAGGAAAGUAGUUUAGAAUUUACAUAUCCAUAUAGAUAUGAACAGAACCGCAACAUUUUUUUAAUUAUUAACAGUAAAAAUAUUAACUCACGUAAUAGUUAUAUAUAUAACAAUGAUAUUAUAUAUAUNNNNNNNNNNNNNNNNNNNNNNNNNNNNNNNNNNNNNNNNNNNNNNNNNNNNNNNNNNNNNNNNNNNNNNNNNNNNNNNNNNNNNNNNNNNNNNNNNNNNAAAAAAAAAAAAAAAAAAAAAAAAAAAAAAAUCAAAGGCUCUAACAGAAACAGAAGUAAAAACGACUUAUACGACGAUAAUGAUUCCACAGAUUCAAAUAGUAGCUUAGAAACUAACAGAACAAAUGAAGAACACAAUAAAAAUCCCUUGUAUAAUAGUACUAUAUUCGAAACUAGUAAUACGAAUUUGUGUGACGCUUUAGAAAAGAGAAAAAAAAAAAUAAUUAAAAGAAGUAGUAGUAGUAGUAGUAGUUGUAAUAAUAAUAGCAACAAUAGAUUAAAUAUUUCAAAAAAAGAAAAAAAUAUAAUUUAUUCAGAUGAUGAUUCAGAUAAUCAUUACGAACAUAUAUUUACACAUAUCAAUUCGAGUUUAUAUUUUUUAAGCAUAUCUAAUUCACAUAUAGAAAAAGAAACUAAUUUAUAUAUUCAAAAUGAAAAAUAUAUUAAUUAUACAGAUAUAGCAUUUAGAAAAUUAAAAUUUAAUAAAAAAAUGUUUAUGAGUUUAGAUACGUACAACUCUUGGGUUAUUAUAAAAAAAAAUAUUUUAUUAAAUGAAUAUUUGAGUUUGUUAAAAAAAAAUAAUUUAGUUGAUAUAAAUGAUGUGAUAUAUGACUUGGUAAAUAUGUCUGAUCAAAUAUGUAACUGCCAUACCAUGAUAUAUGUAAAUGACGAUUUUAUUUUAAUUAAUAAUAAAACUAAAGAAAUAUUGGGUGUUAAAAAAAUUGACGAAAGUUUAAAUAAUAAUAAUAAUGAUAACAUUAAUGAAGAGAGUAAUGACAAUGACAAUACGGAUGUUAUAAACGAAAAAAAAAAAAAAAAAAAAAAAGUAUAUGUAAACAAAAAUGAAAAAAGUAGUUAUAGUAAUAACAGCGAAGCAGAUAUAUACAAAUUAGUACUAAUAAAAAAAAUAAACAUAAAUUAUUUAUUUAAUAGUACUAAAACCAAUAUAAAUAUUAUUUUUUCUUUUCAUAAUGUAUGNNNNNNNNNNNNNNNNNNNNNNNNNNNNNNNNNNNNNNNNNNNNNNNNNNNNNNNNNNNNNNNNNNNNNNNNNNNNNNNNNNNNNNNNNNNNNNNNNNNNUAUAAUUAUAACUUAAGUAAAGACAGUAUUAUACUUAAUAAUGUUAUGUAUAAUACAGUUGCUUAUAAUACUAACUCCAGUAACUCUUAUCUGUAUAAUAAUAACAUUAUCAGUCAUAACCCGAUAGGAACAGACGAGUCGAAUGCAUUAGCAAACAACAAAUUUACUGACUUGCAACUGAUGAAUAAUAAUGAUUUGGCUUACUUUAAUAAUUAUAUUACUCAAAAAAUAGUAAGCAAUUAUAACACAUAUAGCUUAUAUAUAAAAGAAUGUUUAUUCAUUAUUGAUAUACUUUACAUACUAAAUAACAGUUACGGUAAUUUGAUAUAUAUAAAAGAGUAUUAUCAAUACGACCACACUAUUUAUUACACAAAUGUUGAAAAUAUUUUAAAAACCAAGAAGAAAAAAAAAAACAAAAAAAACAAAAAAAACAAAAAAAACAAAAAAAAAACAAAAAAAAAAUUUAAUAAAGGAAACGACAAUGGCAUUAGUAACGACAGUGGCAUUAGUAACGGCAGUGGCAUUAGUAACGAUGACAAAAGCGAAACUAGCAGUAACAAUUCUAUUUGUUCAUUAACCUCUUCAUCGUAUAGUGAAAGUAACAAACAUACAGGCACAUCAUCACUAACAGAUUCGGGAAGUAAUAGCUCAACAUGCAGCACAUACGACAGCUCUAACGAAUCUGACAUUACUACCAUUUGGACUAAAAACUACGUUAAUUAUAAUAAAAAACAAUUCAAUAAAAGUGAGAAACAAUUUUUUAAAAAUUUAGAUAAUGAUUUAAUUUAUAUAAUUCCGAAGUAUAAAAUUGUGUGUCACCCAUGUUUGUUUAAUAAUAACAAUAGCAAUGUCAAUAGCAAUGUCAAUUGCAAUGUCAAUUGCAAUGACAAACAAAACAAUAAUAGUAAUGUCGAAAUCACAAAAGAGAUUAUAAAAUUAGGUAUAUAUCUAAGAAGGAUACAAAAGUUUAUCGAAAUAAAUAAAAGAAGUCAAGUUUGCAACUCCACUUUUGAUAUUUUUUGUUGUUGCUUAUAUAAUAUUUGUUUACAUAUAUUUAAUCACAUUAAUAAGUUAGAUGAAAAUGUAAGAAAUAUAUUUAAUUUUACUAAGGUUAAUAUGCACGAAAAUGCUAAUAGUAAUGAUAAACAAAAAAAUGACCUCGCUUUAUGUCUUUUUAAUGAAAAAAGCUUAUCUACAUGUACCGACCCGGAAGAAAAGAAAAUAUUUUUUAGUAUAAACAAUCUAUUUGAUAAAAACAUUCAAGACUUUAAUAUGUUUUUUAAUAUUAAUAUAGAAAAGACACAAGACAUAUCUUUAUACAAAAUCAAAAUUACCAUUUUACCUUUAAUACAUAUAACUGAGUUAUUAAACAAAAUUAUAAAUAAAAUUAUAAAAAAAAGAAAAAUGAAUAACUCAAAAUUUUUGAUAGAUCUUAUAUAUAAACUACAAGAAUAUUUAAAUGCAGAUGAUGUUAAUAAAACUGUACUUUUAUAUCUAUUAAAAAAUAUAACAACACCUCUUUUUGAUUUUAUUAAACAUUAUAUAUUUAAUGGAAAAGUAUGUGAUACGUAUAAUGAAUUUUUUAUACAUGAAAAUAAACACAUAACACCAUAUUACAAACAACAUAAUCACAUAUCAUUAUAUUAUAAUAAUAUUUAUAAAUAUAUUUUUAAAAAAUAUAUUGAUUUGUCGACAAACUAUUGGGGAGCUAAAUAUAUUCUACUAUAUAAAAAAGUACCUAUAUUUUUAAAAAAAAUAUGUAAUCAAAUUUUUAUUACUGGAAAGUAUAUUGAUGUGUUGUUAGCUUGUUCAAAGUUGUUUACUAUAAAUAACCAAAGACGGAUCAAAAGUGGUCACGUGGGCACUAAUUUUGGCACAAAUUUAGGCACAAAUUUAGGCACAAAUUUAGGCACAAAUUUAGGCACAAAUUUAGGCACAAAUUUAGGCACAAAUUUUGGAACAAAUUUUGGUGGAGACUAUAACACUACAACUACCAACUCGAUAUCACAUAACGAUCGUUUUUCUCAAAAUGAUCAACAAAUAUCUACAGGAGACUGGAACAGAAAAAACGUUUCUAACAAUACAUUCAACUAUUAUUCAAAUAUGAAUAACGGAAACUAUAACAAUGACGUAUAUUCAUCAAAUAGUUUGCUCAUAAAUAGUGGUAACAAUUUUAUUUGUAAUAAUCCAUAUACAAAUAACAAAUCAAUCACAUAUAAAAAAUCAAACCUAGAUGAAAUUAAUAACUUUUCCACCAAUUUAAAUAACCAACAUAGUAGCAAAACUUGUUAUUUAAUUUAUGAUUGUGAUAGAAAGGUAUAUCAAGACAUUAUACAUAAUCAACAUUUAUACGCAUCCAAACAAAUGUUCGAAUUAUAUAUAAUAAAAAUUGAUAUAACUGAAAAACUAAGACAUCAUUACUUCUUUUUCUUUUUACAAAUUAGUGAUUAUUUGAAAUAUUUUUACAUAUUAGCACAUGAGUAUCUUGAAAUGUUAUAUACAAAUAAAACAAAUCAUAUUUUAAAUAAAUUAAAAAAUUAUUUCGAUAUAUCUUUAAGAUCAUCUCUUCUUUAUAAUUUAAAAUAUAGAACAGAUUAUAACAUCGGAAUGUCUGAUAUACCAAAUAUAAAUGAUAAUGUCAAUUUAAUAAUUAAUUUAAAAUAUUGGAAUAUGACAAAUGAACAGAAUGACCAGAAUGACCAGAAUGACCAGAAUGACCAGAGUGACCGGAAUAACCAGAAUGACCAGAGUGACCGGAAUGACCAGAGUGACCAGUAUAACAAUAACAAAACUGAAUAUGGUUUAGAAGAAAAUCAAAUGUAUGAUUGUGAUAUACAUAAUGUUGGUGCGAAUGCAUAUAAUCGAGCAAAUUAUUAUGGUCGGAAUAGAAAUGGUGGAGAAAAUCAUAAUAUUAGUGGUGGUAACAGUGAUGCUGACGAAGGUUCUGAUGAUGCUGAUGGUGGAGGCGCAUAUCGUAAUGGUGCUAAUGCAAUUAACGACAGUGCAUGCGAAGAUAACACAAAAUAUAAUAUGCUAAGUAAUAAAAAUGCAAAAGAAGUAGCAAAAAAAAGAAGGGUUGUUAAUCUUACAAAGACAAAUCUAACAAACGUACAAACAAACAUCAACGUUGAAAUAUACAAAGGAAUGGUAUUGCUAUAUCAUAAUAUCUUUCCAUAUAACUUAAUUUUUAACAACAUAACCAUUUUUAAAUAUACACUCAUAUUUCGUGUAUUAAAUUAUUGUAAAUAUAUAGAACAUAAAUUAACCGAAGUGUGGAUUAAUCAUAUGUUUUUUAAAAAUAUUGACAUACCAGAUGAAUGUAAAAAUAAUUUAAUGAUAUGUAUAUAUACAAGAGAAUGUAUGAUUCAUUUUUUAAAGUGUUAUAUUUACCAUAUACAAAAUGAUGUUAUAAAAAUGGAGUAUAAUAACAUGCUUGACAAACUAAAAGAAACGUUUAUAUUUGAUGAUAUUAUACAUAUUCAUAAUAAGUAUUUAAAUAACAUAUUAAAAUAUUCUUUUAUAAUAAAUUAUGACAUUAUUAAUUGCAUUUUUAAAAUUAUAUCUAUUGCUCAUAUAUUUACAAGACAUAUACUCAAAUUUAGUUUCAACAGAAAUGAACAAAUUGAAACAAUAACAUCAAAUAGCACUGAUAUUAGUAACACGAAUGGACUAGAUCGAAAUGGUAAUUACAAAAAAAAAAUAAAUAGAGGAUUAUUAUCGCAUAAAAAAUUUAUACAAGAAUUAUUAAUUGAUAAAGCCUAUAUAUCCAUGAUACAUAACACUAUCAAACAUUAUGAUAAACAUUUUAAAAUUUUUUUUUUACUCCUAACUGAAUAUGUAAAUAAUAAUAUAGAUGAUUAUGCACAUAAUUUUUUAAUCAAAUUAGAUUAUAAUUUUUAUUAUACAAAUAAGUAUAAAACUUCUUUUGAUUUACCAUCUAAUAAUGAUAUGGGUGAAGAGUAUAAAACAGGAUCUCCAGAUGUUAAGUCUUAUAAACAAACUACCACUCGACAUGAACAAACUAAAUAUAACAACGUAAAUAUAAAUUAUAAAAACAUUAUCAGUAGUAAUGGUGCUACUAACCCAUCAUCCAAUUAUAAUCAAAUUAAUCCAAAACAAACAAACGCUUAUCAUCAUCCUUCAAAUUAUAAUUCAAAUAACAAAAUGCAAAAUAACUAUCAUUUAAAAAAUUAUGUAAAUAAUACUAAUCAAAAUGAAUUUCCAAAUAAUAACAAUUUCACUAAUGUAAACAUAGAUAUAGAUUUAAAAGUACCUAACACAUACUACUCUAAUAAUCAUAAUAAUAAUGGUAAUAAUAAUAGUAAUAAUAAUAAUAAUAAUAAUCAUAGUACUAACUCUGAGGAACAGUAUGUACAAUUAAGAAACAAUCCUAACCCUGUUAUAAAUCAAUAUAUGAGUAAUCUAUCUUCCACUAACAACGACGUUUUAUAUAAUCAAAUGUCUUUACAAACAAAUAAUUAUAGUAUGAAUUCGCAAUAUCCUGGUGAAAGUCCAGUACAAUUUUCAAACAAAAAAAACAAUUUUUCAUACAUUCAAAGUAAUAAUGAUAAUGAAAGUGCUAAUCACAUGUACUAUUAUAAUAAUAACAAAACAGAUGCUAAUAAUAAUAGUAGUAUCAAUUAUAAACACGACAAAUUAAAAAAAUAUAAUAAAUAUAAUAAUGAAAAUAUAAAUAACAUAACACUCAGCAAUAUUGACUUAAGUGCUAUCGACAAUAGUGCCAUAUAUACUCCUAAAAAUUUUAACUCGUGAGUAGGAGACCAACCAUGUGUGCUUUUCCUGCGUUUACUACUUAUGCUUGUGUGUUAGCACUUGGGCUGUUACGUUUUUUUACAAAUGUACGACACGACUUCUUCCCC